CCUACGGGUGGCAGCAGUGAGGAAUAUUGGUCAAUGGACGCAAGUCUGAACCAGCCAUGCCGCGUGCAGGAAGACGGCUCUAUGAGUUGUAAACUUCUUUUGUACGAGGGUAAACGCAGAUACGCGUACCUUUCUGAAAGUAUCGUACGAAUAAGGAUCGGCUAACUCCGUACCAGCAGCCGCGGUAAUACGGAGGAUUCGAGCGUUAUCCGGAUUUAUUGGGUUUAAAGGGUGCGUAGGCGGUCGGAUAAGUUAGAGGUGAAAUCCCGAGGCUCAACUUCGGAAUUGCAACUGAUACUGGUCGGCUAGAGAGUAGUUGAGGUAGGCGGAAUGUAGGGUGUAGCGGUGAAAUGCUUAGAGAUCAUACAGAACACCGAUUGCGAAGGCAGCUUACCAAGCUACUUCUGACGUUGAGGCACGAAAGCGUGGGGAGCAAACAGGAUUAGAUACCCGAGUAGUC
RNAcentral lists this ribosomal RNA (460 nucleotides) under uncultured bacterium. Its description in RNAcentral is "partial 16S ribosomal RNA". It matches the Rfam family "Bacterial small subunit ribosomal RNA", at positions 338 to 795 of the family's 1533-position model. The record is from RNAcentral.